AUGUUAAUUUGGAGGAUUUGGUCGCUACGGUCUGACUUGGCGCAGGGCAAGAACGUGUUGUCUCCUUCUGUUUCUGCUGAUUAUCUCCAGAGUUAUAUGUGUUCACUUGAUCUGUCCAGGAGAUACAUCAUGAAGGAAAUUUUGAAGGGGAAGAUGUCGCUAAUGGAGGACGACUCGGCUACUCGUGUUGUGGUUUCCAGCGCACUGCCAUGGUCACCACCGCCAACAAAUCGGGUUGCACUAUCUGUUGAUGGGGCCUUUUCUUCAGUGGAUGGCUCGACGGUAGCCAGCAUGAUCUUGAGGAGACAUGAUGGAAGUGUGAUUUUUUCUGCUAUCGCUGCCUGUUUAAUUGGAACGACGCACUACAGGCUGAGUUGCAUGCACUGA
RNAcentral lists this ribosomal RNA (387 nucleotides) under Triticum aestivum (bread wheat). RNAcentral describes it as "partial small subunit ribosomal RNA". Lineage: Eukaryota; Viridiplantae; Streptophyta; Magnoliopsida; Poales; Poaceae. The record is from RNAcentral.